UACGUAGGGAGCAAGCGUUGUCCGGAAUCAUUGGGCGUAAAGCGCGCGUAGGCGGCCUCAUAAGUCCGUUGUGAAAGUCAAAGGCUCAACCUUUGAAAGCCGAUGGAUACUGUGAGGCUAGAGUCCGGAAGAGGCGAGUGGAAUUCCUGGUGUAGCGGUGGAAUGCGCAGAUAUCAGGAGGAACACCGAUGGCGAAGGCAGGUCUCUGGGCCAUUACUGACACUGAGAAGCGAAAGCAUGGGGAGCGAACAGG
This 253-nucleotide ribosomal RNA is filed under the name uncultured bacterium. RNAcentral's name for it is "partial 16S ribosomal RNA". It matches the Rfam family "Bacterial small subunit ribosomal RNA", at positions 524 to 776 of the family's 1533-position model. The record is from RNAcentral.